This is a long non-coding RNA of Macadamia integrifolia, 1205 nucleotides long. RefSeq lists it as uncharacterized. The record is from RefSeq and is a predicted model, not a curated record. NCBI's taxonomy places the organism in Eukaryota, Viridiplantae, Streptophyta, Magnoliopsida, Proteales, Proteaceae. The transcript is spliced from 3 exons.
UAGAAGGGAACUCUUCGAACAAAGGGUGGAAAACCUACUUUUUAUUCAUUUUUUGGGUUCGAAGGGUUGCCGAUUGGCAACAACUAGUACGAACUAGACAUUGCCUCCUUGAACAUCCGCCCUACCUUAUUAGCCUCAGAUGAGCAGAUCCUCCGGGUGUUUAUGGACUUGGGUUGGGUCAUCAACAUUGUUGAGUUGUGUCAUCAACACUGUUGAGUUGGGAGAUGGGAGUUUCCUCGCUUGACAUGGUCUAAGUCCAGUGUCGCUUCGUCGCUCAAUUCAAGAGGCCUUUGCCCUCCAUGAUGCCCAGACUCAGAGCGGGGUUGUGUCAUCGAGGCCGGAGAUUGCGAGAGACGAAAACGGAGGCUUCUGAUCUUCCUCUUGAGAUACGGGAAUACGGCGAAAGAAGAGGAAGCAUCCCCAUCCAGGGCGGUGGCGGAUCAUCCAAUGUUGAGGAUCUGCCCAUGUUUAUGGAGUGAAGGGACCUUUCGCAAGGUCAGUCUAUCCCAUCGGGCAGAUUUUCGAAUUGUGUUGGGGCCUCCAGAGAAGCAACCCCUCAUGGGCCAUUGCCAGUGGGCCAUGUUUCCUUGAUGAGAGUGUUUACGGUUGAAGAGGUUCUUAGAAUGAGGCGGUUGAGGCCAGGUGCAACUGUGCAGCCCUAGACGACUAGAACCGACUGAAGAUUGUGCCCUUCGACCGAUGCUCGAUCUUCAAAGAUUGUCUAGCUUCUGGACUCAGAUGUGCCGUUUUCCAGAGGACCGUACAACCUUGGGCAACAUGUUCGUGCACGGGCUGUGCCAAAAAGGGAGGGCAACGCUUGUUCAGGGCAUGUUCUCACUUGGUUGGGCAGGAGCAACUGACCAUUCUCAAAGCCAAGUUGCGAUGGUGGUGGAGACUCACUAGGCCGAGCGUUCCCAUUGAUUGGAUAGAGAGAAAGAGUUAUUCGGUCAUUUUACGAGCGUUAAAUGUCCUCUCAGGCUCGUCUUUGCAAGGGAGAAAUGGCCUUACAGCACGAACGCGCCACAAGGGAAGAGGUCGAGUGGCGGGCGGCUCGACUAGAAGUCGACCUUAAGUCCUUGGAGGAUCGACAGUCCGUCGCGCAGAGUGAAGAGGAUGAAGCGAAUAGUGAAUGAGCGCUCAUGUAUAUUUUUCCUUUUUGGUAGACUUUUUUUGAAUGAAAGAUCUUAUUUCCACUUGUAUUGUUC